AAGAAACUUUGUCUUUCUUGGCAAGAAAAUGAAGCCACCAUCAAUUCUGGAAACAGCACCACUUCUUGAAGAUCUGGAAAGGGUUGUACAGCCUUGUAUGGACAGUGAAAGAACCGCUGUGUUACUCAAAAUACUGGCUUUUACCCACAGUCAUCUUCCGAAGGUGCUGACAUUCACUAAUUCAGGAGAUGAGGCAGAAAUGGUUCAUCGGGUGAGCAUCAUUUUACACAGGAUUCUUCUGUAGACCAAGAGAUCACAAAGGCACA
This is a long non-coding RNA of Colius striatus (speckled mousebird), 266 nucleotides long. RefSeq lists it as uncharacterized. The transcript has 3 exons. Lineage: Eukaryota; Metazoa; Chordata; Aves; Coliiformes; Coliidae. The record is from RefSeq and is a predicted model, not a curated record.